GAUGAACGCUAGCGGAAGGCUUAAUACAUGCAAGUCGAGCGGUAGGUGGCUUCGGCCAUUGAGAGCGGCGCACGGGUGAGUAACGCGUACAUGACCUGCCUGUCAGAAGGGGAUAGCCCUGGGAAACUGGGAUUAAUACCCUAUGGUAUUGAUAUUAUGAAUGAUAUCAAUUAAAGUUGAGGCGCUGACAGAUGGAUGUGCGUCUGAUUAGCUAGUUGGUAGGGUAGCGGCCUACCAAGGCGACGAUCAGUAGGGGGCGUGAGAGCGUGGUCCCCCACACGGGUACUGAGACACGGACCCGACUCCUACGGGAGGCAGCAGUAAGGAAUAUUGGUCAAUGCCCGCAAGGGUGAACCAGCCAUUCCGCGUGGAGGAUGAAGGCCCUAUGGUUGUAAACUUCUUUAGAUGGGAAGAAAUGCUAGAUGUAUCUGGUACUGACGGUACCAUCAGAAUAAGCACGGCUAACUCCGUGCCAGCAGCCG
This 482-nucleotide ribosomal RNA is filed under the name uncultured bacterium. RNAcentral describes it as "bacterial SSU rRNA". It matches the Rfam family "Bacterial small subunit ribosomal RNA", at positions 28 to 517 of the family's 1533-position model. The record is from RNAcentral.